CUGCUGCAGGGGAUCCUUCCAAGGCGAAAGGGGAGGCAUUUCUUUACGUCUGGCUCAUGUCUGAAUCGUAAUGGGCAGGGACCCAAGAGAGGACUUUCCUGGUGGUUGUUCCCAGGCAUGUCUGGCCCAUACAGUGUGUCUCUGAUGAGCUGCUGCUUUCAGGCAAAGGCUUCUUGAUUCAGAAAGUAGAUGGAUACUCUGAACUACCUUGCAAGGGUGAUGUCUUCCUCUCUUAGUGCCAGUGUGUCUGUUCCCUCACAAUAAGGGAACAUUAUAAUAAUAUAAGGAAUAAUAUAUAAUAUAAUAUAAUAUAAACGUGAGGAAAUAAGGGAAUAUGCCGGACUACAACACAGGGUUGUUGUGCACGCACCUGAGCCGUGGCUGAGAGUGGCUCGUGAGAACCCUUCAGUGCCGUCCGCGGUUCAUGCUGCAGGAAAGAGUGAAGCUGCUUUGGAAAGCUGGCUGGAUUCGCUGGAAGCAGCGGCCCCCCUUUCUCCUGCCUAAACUGUCGCGGGUGCCACCUUAGCCUUCCGUGCAUGCAACGACACGUGGAAGGAAACUUCCCUUUGCAUGUUGCAGCUCCCCUUUGAAGCUGCAGCUCAAAUCCUGAAGGAGCCCUUGCUUUCGAAGGACAGCUUUUCCGUUUGCACAAGAAAUAGAACAGAUUUAGACCCUGAAGUUCUACGAUUGUGUCACUCUAAGUUUUUGCUUCUAUGGUGGCAUCGAAAUGAAAGGGGGAGCGGAAGGUGUUCGCGAAUAAGCCAUCGGCAAGCCCGGGAGACAGCGGCCAAUAAACGGUCCGAAGGGGGCUCGAUCACGUGGUGCCCUUCGUUGCUCCGUCAAAGACAUCUUGGCCGCUGGCAGAGGGCCGCGAGCCGGCCGGCCAAUGAGCCAUCCUGGCGCUCUCUCACGUGGGCCCUCGCGUCACCUGGGGCGUCGCAGCCUCAGCGCCUCCCUCCUCGCGCUGGCCAAGACGCGCCUCAUGCGGCGCGGGGCGCUGUACGCCUUGGCUCUGGGCUGGGCGGCCGCCUGGCUGUGGGGUCGCGGGUUCGAUCCCCGGCCGUGGCUCUGGUGGACUCGCGAUGCGGCGCCGGUGCUGAGCGCCGCCGAGCUGGGGCGCUGCACGGGGGCGGAGGGAAGCGCCGGGCUGUACCUGGCUGUGCUGGGGCAGGUCUUCGACGUGCAGCGGGGACGCAGGCACUACGGGCCCGGGGGGGCGUACAGCUUCUUCGCAGGGAAAGAUGCAACCAGGGCUUUUGCAACUGGCGACUUCACCCCAGAGGGGCUGGUGGAUGA
This 1296-nucleotide long non-coding RNA is filed under the name Varanus komodoensis (Komodo dragon). Its description in RNAcentral is "lncRNA (ENSVKKG00000016689.1)". The record is from RNAcentral. Lineage: Eukaryota; Metazoa; Chordata; Lepidosauria; Squamata; Varanidae.